GAUGAACGCUGGCGGCGUGCCUAAUACAUGCAAGUCGAGCGAACGGACGAGAAGCUUGCUUCUCUGAUGUUAGCGGCGGACGGGUGAGUAACACGUGGAUAACCUACCUAUAAGACUGGGAUAACUUCGGGAAACCGGAGCUAAUACCGGAUGAUAUUUUGAACCGCAUGGUUCAAAAGUGAAAGACGGUCUUGCUGUCACUUAUAGAUGGAUCUGCGCUGCAUUAGCUAGUUGGUAAGGUAACGGCUUACCAAGGCAACGAUGCAUAGCCGACCUGAGAGGGUGAUCGGCCACACUGGAACUGAGACACGGUCCAGACUCCUACGGGAGGCAGCAGUAGGGAAUCUUCCGCAAUGGGCGAAAGCCUGACGGAGCAACGCCGCGUGAGUGAUGAAGGUCUUCGGAUCGUAAAACUCUGUUAUUAGGGAAGAACAUAUGUGUAAGUAACUGUGCACAUCUUGACGGUACCUAAUCAGAAAGCCACGGCUAACUACGUG
This 497-nucleotide ribosomal RNA is filed under the name uncultured bacterium. Its description in RNAcentral is "partial 16S ribosomal RNA". It matches the Rfam family "Bacterial small subunit ribosomal RNA", at positions 28 to 507 of the family's 1533-position model. The record is from RNAcentral.